GCACUCCAGCCUGGGCGACAUAGCGAGACUCCGCCUCAAAAAAAAAAAAAAACAAUAAUAAUUAUCCCUUGCUUACUUCUAGUCCUUCUGCUUUCUCUUGUAGUACUUGUACAUUUUUUUACAUUUCUUUAUUUUUUUUUUGAAGCGGUAAAUAUUAGGAAGGUAUGGAUCCAACCUUUUUCUUUAUAUCUUGUAGUUGUCUUACUAUCAUUUACUCAGUAGUCCAUCUUUUCCUCCUUUAAGAUGCAUCUUUUAAACAGAAUAAACUUAUGUAUAUAUUUUGUGUCUAUAAUGUUUCAUUUGUCUAUUAAUGUUCUAGUAGUAAGCUCUUUUAACUAUUGCAUCUUUACAAAAUGUUUUCAUAGCUAUCUGGUAGGGCUGGUCCUUCCGCAUUACUCUUUUUCUCUCUCCUGGUCUUCCUGGCCAUUGUUUAUUUUCCCAUUCGAGUUUUAGGAUCAGCUUUUCAAUUAAAAGAAUUCUGAAGGUAUUUUUAUUGGAACUAUGUUAAAUUUAUACCUAAUGUAUGGAAGACUGGUAUUUUUAUUAUAUUGAACCUUCAUACACAUUUUUAAUUACAGCAUUAUAUUCGUCUUAUUGAUAGAUGUAACCCAUUAACUAUGCCCUUAUUCAAUCCUUAUAAUUUCCACAAUUAAAUAAUUUUCAGAUGAACCACUAUUAAAAAGGAAAAAUAAUCUAUUUUUCUAUACUUUGGCAACACUUCUGACACUAAAUGUAUAGCUUUUCUACACCAAGCAUUUUUAAGACUACACAGUUAGAUGCCAGUAGCAAUUAGUGAGUCUUCAGGUUGCCCAUGCUUUUGUUUGACUUGGCUACAAAUCAAAGAUUUUCAGGACCUUCCUCCUCAGGUUUGAUAGUUUGCUAUGAUGGCUCUCACAUCUCAGGGAAACACAUAUAUUUACUGGUUUAUUGUAAAGGAUAUAGAUGAAGGUCAAAGAACAAAUAUAACAAAUUUAUAACAAGAGAUGCUUCCCUCACCCCUACCAGUCAAGAAAUUAUAAGACUUUUAAGAGCUCUGGGUUAGGAACCAAGGGUAGAGACCAAAUAUUUAUUUCUUACUGUUACGAUUAUGGUUAAAUUUUUGUUCAUGUCUGUGAUUAUUACCUUAUAAUAUAUUCCUAGAAAUAGAAUCACUAAUCAAGACUGUGAAUCUUUCGGAUAUCUGGCAUUGCCAAAUUUCUUACCAAGUAAAUUAUAUACUCCCACAAACUAUGGAUACAAUAUUAGAUUUAUAAAAUUUUAAAAAUAGUCUUGCUAUUCUAAUUGGCAAAAAGUGAUAUUUCACUUUUCUUCUCUCUCUUCUUUCACUAGUUUAAACUUGUCACUAGAUAUCUCACUUUUAGUUUGUACUUAUUUGACUAUUGAGACAUUUUUUAUUUGUUUACUACAUGUUUGUACUCAGUUUUCAACAUUUUGUUAACAUCCUUAACCAUGUUUUAAAUUUAAAAAUUUAUUCAUUUCAAAGUAUAAAUUGUUUUCUUACCCAUUUUUAUUUUAAUGGUCUUAAUGCUUUUCCUUUUGAUCUGUAUGAGCUUCUGUAUAUUAAGACUGUUAAGUCUCUUGUCAUAUUUGUGUCAAAUAAUCAGUGCAUUUACUUUUAAUUAUUUAUAACAUGCUUUAUUGUAUAUAUUUUUUAUUUUAAAAGAUGCAUAGUCACUGAAUAAAUUAAAUAAUACAGAAGCAUGUAUAAUACAAAGUAAAAUUUCUCUCGUCCCCAGCCCCUUGUUCCUACUGGUAAGAAAUAUGUGGGGUGAUGUUUUUUGACUUUCAAAAUUUUCAGCUUUUUAUGUUGUCAAUGUUAGGUGCGUCACUUGUAUAAAGAGACCACCAGGCAGGCUUUGUGUGAGAAAUAUGGCUGUUUAUUCACCCGGAUGUGUGAGCUGAGUCUGAAAAUAGAGUCAGUAGAGGGUGGUGGGAUAGAAUUGGUUUUCUAGGUUGGGGCAAGUGGUCAGUUAAAGAUGGUAAUCUAUUUUAGGGAGGGGAAAGUCAUCUCAGAACGCAUGGCCACAGGGUAGGAGUCGGUAAUCUAUCUUGGGGAGGGGUAGGGUGUCACGGAAUGCAUGAUCACAAGGGUAGGGGCCAUCUGUUAUAAACAGGCAUGAUCAUAAAGGUGGAGGUUAUCAGUUGCAAGCAGAGGGGAGGGUGCACUAAAUUACAUAGUUACAGGGUAGGAGUCCUGAAAAAUCCAAUGUCCAGAGGGGAAAUUCCAAAAGGCUGAGCAGGAACUAUGCUUGCAGGUUGCAGGGGGAGAGCAAUUAGUUGAGGCAGAAACAAGUUGUUUCACCUCUUUCUGUGGCCACCUAGUUACUUGUGGUUACUUCAGACUUUCUGGCUCCUGAGGACCAUGCAGAGGUGUACGUGCGGGUCACAAAGACUAUAAUGGCCAGGCUUGGAGUUGGAGGCCUGACAGUCAAAUCUACAGAACUUUUUCCUUGUUAAUGUCUAUCGUUUGUUAAUAUUACAAAGACCUUUCGCAUACAGAAAUUAGGGGUAUUAGGCAGCCAAGGUGAGUGUGGAGAAAUCAGUAGGUAGGCUAUUCAUGUUGUCCAGGCAAGAAAUUCUUGAGGCUUGGGCUGGGAUGGAGGCAGUGGAGAUAUAAAGAGGUGGAUACAUCAGUCUAUAAUUUGGAGGUUGGGUUUGCUGAUCGAUUGAUUGGUUGGUUGGCUGGUUGAUUUAAUGGGGGAGGAAGAAAUAAAAGGGAGAAAUAAAUGCUGGUUUUAAAAUUUUUGAUGUAAGCAACUGGGGGAUGGGGAAGCUUUUCCUGAGCUGAGGAAUGGGAAGCCUUUAAGGGUGAAUGAGGAUAUUCUGAUGCAUGAUACGUUCCUGGAUGCUCUUUGUUGACACAUAACUCUGUUUAGCAGGAGCCCUAAAUACAGGUUGACACUUCCUCGACUCUCUGCUGCUGCCCAUGAUCUUUAUUCUUUGACCUGCUGUGUUCCUUUUGAGUUUACAAAGUGUUCUUGAGUUUGUCUCAUGUUCUCUUUAAUGACCCCUUCCUGGGUACUAAUGUGGGCUGAGUUUUUCAUUACCUAGUCUGUGGCGUGCUUCAGAAGGAAUGUCUUGGGCACUAGAGGAUCAUAAACAUUGGAGAGGUACUCCUGAGUGCUUUCUGCUUUAUCAGAUUGCUGUAAUGAGGGCCCUGGGGCAGGUUCUCGAAGGCUGGUGCUGCCUCUGGGCACAACCUCAUCAAAGGAGAACCAGACUAAUCAGUGUGUGGCCUGAAAUAGGCAGUUGGAGCUAAUCAGUAAAAACAUAGUCAAUUAGUUUGUUGUUGUUGGCGAUGUUGUUACUAUGUAGAAUAUUGCCCAGUAAAGCUUCUAGUCUGCCUUGAACUCCUUAAACGGGUUCAGAGGACACCAUUAUUUCAAAACAUCAAAGCAAGAUCAGAGGGCCUACUAUGGGAAAUAAAUAAACGUCAUUCCCCACCUCUGCCCCAUGCAAUCAGUUUGCUGCUGGCAUAUGACUGCUAUCUCUUAAUGGUCUAGAAAACAUGUCUCUGACUUCCUGCCAAAUGGACACAUACUGAGUUUCUUUCUGAGAAUGACAGUGACUUGUGAGAAGCUGUUCUAUGCACAUACUCUCUCCUCAUUCUUCUAGCAACCAGUAGCAUGUGCCAAGAAGGGAAAAGGCUCACAAGAAUUGGAAAUAUAGUCUCUUGCCUUGGGAUACUUUUUCUGGACAAAACUUUCUUUUAGGGAAAUAAGUAGUCUAGGUUUUGCAAAACUAUGUCCUAGCUGAUCCACAAUUCUGUUGCAUAACUGAAGGUCAUACCUGGUGCUAAGUUAAGUGUUUGUCACUAAAGAUAUUUCCAUCUGGCAAACAAAAUAUUGUGGGAUUAUGCUGUUCCCUCUUCCUGGAAUGUCCUUGUGUGCCAUGUCUUCAAGGAGACCAUUUGGUAAUAAUCCCAAAUCCCCAACCUUUAACCAGCCACCUACGGCCUCUACAGACUUCUGAGAGAGCUUCACAGAGGACAGUCCUGGCGAAUGAACACUGUUUAUUACACUGUUUUUACCACUUCUAAGCUUGUCUGGAUCAUGUGAAAGGCAAAAAGACAUGUAGAAAGACAAACCC
Molecule: long non-coding RNA, 4089 nt
Organism: Sapajus apella (tufted capuchin)
Lineage: Eukaryota; Metazoa; Chordata; Mammalia; Primates; Cebidae
Exons: 2
Source: RefSeq, a predicted model, not a curated record